This 253-nucleotide ribosomal RNA is filed under the name uncultured bacterium. RNAcentral describes it as "partial 16S ribosomal RNA". It matches the Rfam family "Bacterial small subunit ribosomal RNA", at positions 524 to 776 of the family's 1533-position model. The record is from RNAcentral.
CACGUAGGGUGCGAGCGUUGUCCGGAAUUACUGGGCGUAAAGCGUGCGCAGGCGGUUCGCCAAGUCAGGUGUGAAAUCCCCGGGCUUAACCUGGGAAUUGCGCUUGAAACUAGCGGGCUUGAGUGUGGCAGAGGGGGGUGGAAUUCCACGUGUAGCAGUGAAAUGCGUAGAGAUGUGGAGGAACACCGAUGGCGAAGGCAGCCCCCUGGGUCAACACUGACGCUCAUGCACGAAAGCGUGGGGAGCAAACAGG